This 476-nucleotide ribosomal RNA is filed under the name Ferrissia nipponica. RNAcentral's name for it is "partial 16S ribosomal RNA". It matches the Rfam family "Bacterial large subunit ribosomal RNA", at positions 1795 to 2620 of the family's 2925-position model. Lineage: Eukaryota; Metazoa; Mollusca; Gastropoda; Ancylidae. The record is from RNAcentral.
CUCGCCUGUUUAUCAAAAACAUAGUUAAAAGAAAAGAUUUUUAAUUAUUCCUGCCCAGUGUAUAUUUAUAAAUGGCCGCAGUACUUUGACUGUGCUAAGGUAGCAUAAUCAAUUGGCUUUUAAUUUGAGUCUGGAAUGAAAGGAUUUAUGGGGAGACGCUGUUUCAAAUAUAUAGUAUUAAAUUUAUUUAAAAAGUGAAAAUACUUUUUUAUAGAAAAAAGACGAGAAGACCCUAAGAAUUUUUAGAAAAAUAUAUUAAUUUUUCUUUUUGUUGGGGCGACAAUUAAGCAAUAGCAUUAACCUUAAUUAUUUAUUUAAUCGGUUAUUUCAGUAAAAAUUAAAUUACCUUAGGGAUAACAGCAUAAUUUUUAAAAGUUUGUGACCUCGAUGUUGGACUAGGAACUUUAUAACUAGCAGUAAAAAGAGAUUGUUCUGUUCGAACAAUAUUUGGCAACGUGAUCUGAGUUCAGACCGGG